RNAcentral lists this ribosomal RNA (491 nucleotides) under uncultured bacterium. RNAcentral's name for it is "partial 16S ribosomal RNA". It matches the Rfam family "Bacterial small subunit ribosomal RNA", at positions 29 to 506 of the family's 1533-position model. The record is from RNAcentral.
AGUGAACGCUGGCGGUAGGCCUAACACAUGCAAGUCGAACGGCAGCACAGUAAGAGCUUGCUCUUACGGGUGGCGAGUGGCGGACGGGUGAGGAAUACAUCGGAAUCUACUUUUUCGUGGGGGAUAACGUAGGGAAACUUACGCUAAUACCGCAUACGACCUACGGGUGAAAGCAGGGGAUCUUCGGACCUUGCGCGAUUGAAUGAGCCGAUGUCGGAUUAGCUAGUUGGCGGGGUAAAGGCCCACCAAGGCGACGAUCCGUAGCUGGUCUGAGAGGAUGAUCAGCCACACUGGAACUGAGACACGGUCCAGACUCCUACGGGAGGCAGCAGUGGGGAAUAUUGGACAAUGGGCGCAAGCCUGAUCCAGCCAUACAGCGUGGGUGAAGAAGGCCUUCGGGUUGUAAAGCCCUUUUGUUGGGAAAGAAAAGCAGCAGGUUAAUACCCCGCUGUUCUGACGGUACCCAAAGAAUAAGCACCGGCGAACUUCGU